CCUACGGGAGGCAGCAGUGGGGAAUAUUGGGCAAUGGGCGCAAGCCUGACCCAGCAACGCCGCGUGAAGGAUGAAGGUUUUCGGAUUGUAAACUUCUGUCGCUAGGGACGAAGAAUGACGGUACCUCGUAAGAAAGCCCCGGCUAACUACGUGCCAGCAGCCGCGGUAAUAAGUAGGGGGCAAGCGUUGGCCGGAAUGACUGGGCGUAAAGGGAGUGUAUGCGGUCUUGUAGGGUAGAUGGGAAAUCCUACGGCUUAAACGUAGAACUGAAUCUAAAACUGUGAGGCUGGAGUGCAGGAGAGGUGAGUGGAAUUCCUGGUGUAGCGGUGGAAUGCGUAGAUAUUAGGAGGAACACCGGAGGCGAAGGCGACUCACUGGACUGUAACUGACGCUGAGGCUCGAAAGCGUGGGUAGCAAACAGGAUUAGAUACCCGGGUAGUC
Molecule: ribosomal RNA, 441 nt
Filed under: uncultured bacterium
Lineage: Bacteria
Description: partial 16S ribosomal RNA
Rfam family: Bacterial small subunit ribosomal RNA
Source: RNAcentral